RNAcentral lists this ribosomal RNA (234 nucleotides) under uncultured bacterium. RNAcentral's name for it is "partial 16S ribosomal RNA". It matches the Rfam family "Bacterial small subunit ribosomal RNA", at positions 536 to 769 of the family's 1533-position model. The record is from RNAcentral.
GAGCGUUGUCCGGAUUUACUGGGCGUAAAGGGUGAGUAGGCGGUAAUAUGUGUCAGAUGUAAAAGGCUAUGGCUUAACCAUAGUUAGCAUUUGAAACUGUAUUACUUGAGUGCAGGAGAGGUAAGUGGAAUUCCUAGUGUAGCGGUGAAAUGCGUAGAUAUUAGGAGGAACACCAGUGGCGAAGGCGACUUACUGGACUGUAACUGACGCUGAGUCAACGAAAGCGUGGGGAGC